Long non-coding RNA from Zalophus californianus (California sea lion), 820 nucleotides. RefSeq lists it as uncharacterized. The record is from RefSeq and is a predicted model, not a curated record. Lineage: Eukaryota; Metazoa; Chordata; Mammalia; Carnivora; Otariidae. The transcript has 4 exons.
CCACACGACCACCUCAGUUGAGAGCUACUGCCCCAGGAGUGUGUGAAGCCUGCAGGAGCCUAAGCUACCAGAUGGAGAAGGUGUAGCAGGAGUGCACUGGCCUGCCCCGGUCGGGGCAGGGUGCUCUCUGCCGGCAAGCCCAGCAACGGCUUCUUCUUUGGGAGCUGAUUCAGUGGGGCUAUCUGUCACAGUCACCAACCCUGCCCUGCCAUGAGGGGCAUGUGAGUCAAGCAAAGAGCAGUCACUGCACCCUAUUGCCCAGUCACUGGGUUGAUGAAUGAGAGACCCUGAUGAAGAUCUAUUGAGUUCCUGGAUCCAGCCUGACCUGAAGGUAGAACCCAACAGGUGAAGAGGCUGUGGUACAGAGAGGUGAAGUAUCUUGCUCAAGGUCACACAGUGAAAGAGGCGAGCCUGGAGCCCAGUCCAGGUCAUCUGACCCCAGAGCCUGUGCAGAGGACUGUGCCAUACACCGUCACGGGCCAGGGAAGGACAAGCAGAGAGCCGAGUACGGGAAAGAGGGAAGAAGGGCAGAGACCCAAGUCUGGAAUCUACACCGCCUGAAGCAAAGCAAACCGCAGCACCGGAUGGUCCAGUGGAGAUAGCACAGCUGAUUCUGCUGGGCUCAGACAUGGCAGCCUCUGGUCCUGCUGCUUUGGGACACCGGUGUCCAUGACACUGCCUUUGCCAGGUAGAUGCCCUCUGACCUCUGCUUCUCCGGUCUCCAGCUUCUGAACACAAGGCUGGUGCUGGUGCAGCUGCCUUACGGGGCAGACGGGGACUGUCUGUACCCUAGUUGCUAGGGAGCCUGGGAAAGCAAGAC